GACGAACGCUGGCGGCGUGCUUAACACAUGCAAGUCGAACGGAAAGGCCCUGCUUGCAGGGUACUCGAGUGGCGAACGGGUGAGUAACACGUGGGUGAUCUGCCCUGCACUUCGGGAUAAGCCUGGGAAACUGGGUCUAGUACCGGAUAGGAGCCAUUUUUAGUGUGAUGGUUGGAAAGUUUUUUCGGUGUAGGAUGAGCUCGCGGCCUAUCAGCUUGUUGGUGGGGUAAUGGCCUACCAAGGCGGCGACGGGUAGCCGGCCUGAGAGGGUGGACGGCCACAUUGGGACUGAGAGACGGCCCAGACUCCUACGGGAGGCAGCAGUGGGGAAUAUUGCACAAUGGGCGCAAGCCUGAUGCAGCGACGCCGCGUGGGGGAUGACGGCCUUCGGGUUGUAAACUCCUUUCGCUAGGGACGAAGCUUUUUGUGACGGUACCUAGAUAAGAAGCACCGGCUAACUACGU
This 464-nucleotide ribosomal RNA is filed under the name uncultured bacterium. RNAcentral describes it as "partial 16S ribosomal RNA". It matches the Rfam family "Bacterial small subunit ribosomal RNA", at positions 28 to 506 of the family's 1533-position model. The record is from RNAcentral.